UAGGGAAUCUUCGGCAAUGGGGGGAACCCUGACCGAGCAACGCCGCGUGAGUGAAGAAGGUUUUCGGAUCGUAAAGCUCUGUUGUUAAGGAAGAACGAGUGUGAGAAUGGAAAGUUCAUGCUGUGACGGUACUUAACCAGAAAGGGACGGCUAACUACGUGCCAGCAGCCGCGGUAAUACGUAGGUCCCGAGCGUUGUCCGGAUUUAUUGGGCGUAAAGCGAGCGCAGGCGGUUAGAAAAGUCUGAAGUGAAAGGCAGUGGCUCAACCAUUGUAGGCUUUGGAAACUGUUUAACUUGAGUGCAGAAGGGGAGAGUGGAAUUCCAUGUGUAGCGGUGAAAUGCGUAGAUAUAUGGAGGAACACCGGUGGCGAAAGCGGCUCUCUGGUCUGUAACUGACGCUGAGGCUCGAAAGCGUGGGGAGCGAACAGGAUUAGAUACCCUGGUAGUCCACGCCGUAAACGAUGAGUGCUAGGUGUUAGGUCCUUUCCGGGACUUAGUGCCGCAGNUAACGCAUUAAGCACUCCGCCUGGGGAGUACGACCGCAAGGUUG
This 550-nucleotide ribosomal RNA is filed under the name uncultured bacterium. RNAcentral's name for it is "bacterial SSU rRNA". It matches the Rfam family "Bacterial small subunit ribosomal RNA", at positions 355 to 896 of the family's 1533-position model. The record is from RNAcentral.